This 323-nucleotide ribosomal RNA is filed under the name uncultured eukaryote. RNAcentral's name for it is "partial 18S ribosomal RNA". It matches the Rfam family "Eukaryotic small subunit ribosomal RNA", at positions 1470 to 1796 of the family's 1831-position model. The record is from RNAcentral.
CCCUUAGAUGUUCUGGGCCGCACGCGCGCUGCACUGAUACAUGCAACGAGUUUAUAACCUUGAUCUGACGGUCUGGGUAAUCUUCAAACUGUAUCGUGUUAGGGAUCGAUUCUUGCAAUUUUUAAUCGUAAACGAGGAAUUCCUAGUAAACGCAAGUCAUCAGCUUGCAUUGAUUACGUCCCUGCCCUUUGUACACACCGCCCGUCGACUCUACCGAUUGAAUGGUUCGGUGAAAACUUUGGACUGUGGCAUCGUCCUUCAUUGGACUUCGCCGUAGGAAAUUGCUUAAACCUCAUCAUUUAGAGGAAGAAUAAGUCGUANCA